This 497-nucleotide ribosomal RNA is filed under the name uncultured bacterium. Its description in RNAcentral is "partial 16S ribosomal RNA". It matches the Rfam family "Bacterial small subunit ribosomal RNA", at positions 28 to 507 of the family's 1533-position model. The record is from RNAcentral.
GAUGAACGCUGGCGGCGUGCCUAAUACAUGCAAGUCGAGCGAACAGACCAUAAUCUUGCUGCUCUGUUGUUAGCGGCGGACGUGUGAGUAACACGUGUAUCACCUACCUAUAAUACUGGGAUAACUUCGAGAAACCGUAUCUUAUACCGUAUAAUCUUUUGAACCGCGUUGUUCAAUGGUGAAAUUCGGUCUUUCUGUCUCUUAUCGAUGGUUCUGCGCUGCAUUAGCUGGUUGUUAAGGUAACGGCUUAACAAGGCAACGAUGCAUAGCCGAACUGAGAGGGUGAUCGGCCACACUGGAACUGAGACACGGACAAGACUCCUACGGGAGGCAGCAGUAGGGAAUCUUACGCAAUGGGCGAAAGCCUGACGGAGCAACGCCGCGUGAGUGAUGAAGGUCUUCGGAUCGUAAAACUCUGUUAUUAGGGAAGAACAUAUGUGUAAGUAACUGUGCACAUCUUGACGGUACCUAAUCAGAAAGCCACGGCUAACUACGUG